RNAcentral lists this ribosomal RNA (879 nucleotides) under uncultured bacterium. RNAcentral describes it as "bacterial SSU rRNA". It matches the Rfam family "Bacterial small subunit ribosomal RNA", at positions 25 to 902 of the family's 1533-position model. The record is from RNAcentral.
UAGGACGACGCUGGCGGCGGGCUUAACACAUGCAAGUCGAACGAGAAAGGGUUCUUCGGAACCCGAGUAAAGUGGCGAACGGGUGCGUAACACGUAGGUAACCUGCCCUUGAGUGGGGAAUAACUACCGGAAACGGUGGCUAAUACCGCAUGAAGACCAGAGAUCGCAUGAUCUUCGGUUGAAAGACUUCGGUUGCUCAAGGAUGGGCCUGCGGCGGAUUAGCUUGUUGGUGAGGUAAAAGCUCACCAAGGCUACGAUCCGUAGCUGGUCUGAGAGGAUGAUCAGCCACACUGGCACUGAGACACGGGCCAGACUCCUACGGGAGGCAGCAGUGAGGAAUCUUGCGCAAUGGAGGAAACUCUGACGCAGCCACGCCGCGUGAAGGAAGACACCCCUAUGGGGCGUAAACUUCUUUUAUAUGGGAAGAACACCCUGCCCGGCAGGGUCUGGCGGUACCAUAUGAAUAAGCACCGGCUAACUCCGUGCCAGCAGCCGCGGUAAUACGGAGGGUGCAAGCGUUGUCCGGAAUCACUGGGUGUAAAGGGUGUGUAGGCGGGGCAGUAAGUCAGAGGUGAAAGCCCACGGCUCAACCGUGGAAUUGCCUUUGAUACUGCUGUUCUUGAGUCCUGGAGAGGUCGCCGGAAUUCGUGGUGUAGCGGUGAAAUGCGUAGAUAUCACGAGGAACACCGGAGGUGUAGACGGGUGACUGGACAGGUACUGACGCUGAGGCACGAAAGCGUGGGGAGCAAACAGGAUUAGAUACCCUGGUAGUCCACGCCGUAAACGAUGGAUGCUCGGUGUUGCCCCGUUUCAGGGGCAGUGCCCAAGCUAACGCAUUAAGCAUCCCACCUGGGGAGUACGCUCGCAAGAGUGAAACUC